This 268-nucleotide ribosomal RNA is filed under the name uncultured bacterium. Its description in RNAcentral is "partial 16S ribosomal RNA". It matches the Rfam family "Bacterial small subunit ribosomal RNA", at positions 85 to 354 of the family's 1533-position model. The record is from RNAcentral.
AAAAGGCUUAGUGGCGGGCGGGUGAGUAACGCGUGGGUAACCUGGCCCAUACAGGGGGAUAACACUUAGAAAUAGGUGCUAAUACCGCAUAACAACAGAAAGCGCAUGCUUUUUGUUUGAAAACCAAGGUGGUAUGGGAUGGACCCGCGUCUGAUUAGCUGGUUGGCGGGGUAAAGGCCCACCAAGGCGACGAUCAGUAGCCGGCCUGAGAGGGUGGACGGCCACAUUGGGACUGAGACACGGCCCAAACUCCUACGGGAGGCAGCAG